Molecule: ribosomal RNA, 478 nt
Filed under: uncultured bacterium
Lineage: Bacteria
Description: partial 16S ribosomal RNA
Rfam family: Bacterial small subunit ribosomal RNA
Source: RNAcentral
GACGAACGCUGGCGGCGUGCUUAACACAUGCAAGUCGAACGGUAAGGCCCUUCGGGGUACACGAGUGGCGAACGGGUGAGUAACACGUGGGUGAUCUGCCCUGCACUUCGGGAUAAGCCUGGGAAACUGGGUCUAAUACCGGAUAGGACCACUGCCUGCAUGGGUGGUGGUGGAAAGCUUUUGCGGUGUGGGAUGGGCCCGCGGCCUAUCAGCUUGUUGGUGGGGUGAUGGCCUACCAAGGCGACGACGGGUAGCCGGCCUGGGAGGGUGACCGGCCAGACUGGGACUGAGAUACGGCCCAGACUCCUACGGGAGGCAGCAGUGGGGAAUAUUGCACAAUGGGCGCAAGCCUGAUGCAGCGACGCCGCGUGAGGGAUGACGGCCUUCGGGUUGUAAACCUCUUUCGGCACAGACGAAGCGCAAGUGACGGUAGGUGCAGAAGAAGGACCGGCCAACUACGUGCCAGCCGCCGCAGUAA